Molecule: ribosomal RNA, 253 nt
Filed under: uncultured bacterium
Lineage: Bacteria
Description: partial 16S ribosomal RNA
Rfam family: Bacterial small subunit ribosomal RNA
Source: RNAcentral
UACGGAGGGUGCAAGCGUUAUCCGGAUUCACUGGGUUUAAAGGGUGCGUAGGCGGAUAGGUAAGUCCGUGGUGAAAUCCUGCAGCUUAACUGCAGAACUGCCGUGGAUACUAUCUAUCUUGAAUAUCGUGGAGGUUAGCGGAAUAUGUCAUGUAGCGGUGAAAUGCGCAGAUAUCAGGAGGAACACCGGUGGCGAAGGCGGGUCUCUGGGCCGAUACUGACGCUGAGGAGCGAAAGCGUGGGGAGCAAACAGG